Long non-coding RNA from Rhagoletis pomonella (apple maggot), 2420 nucleotides. RefSeq lists it as uncharacterized. The transcript has 2 exons. The record is from RefSeq and is a predicted model, not a curated record. Lineage: Eukaryota; Metazoa; Arthropoda; Insecta; Diptera; Tephritidae.
AUAAAAAGUUUAACAGAUGCAGAGAUACCAAGGAGAUUUUUCCCAUUUUGAUGCCCUUUUUAAUAUAAAACCCACCGAUAAGGAGGAAAGAGGCAACUUCGCCAUUCACAUACAUGUCAAAAGUAGGAAUUUCAAAAAUUAAAAACAAUAAACAAACAAUUUCAAAAAAAAAAUCUUUGUGCUAGAUCUUUUUCAUAGAAGCAACUACGUAUGGUGGACAAUAAAAAUACAAACCACUAUAAUAACAAGAGGCAGCAGCCACCGCACCGAUUGUAGUCACCGCUCCAAGAACCAGCAUCGCUCGGGUAGUCGGCGUCGCUCUACGAGUCGACACCGCUCAGAGAGCCGGCAGCGCUCCAAUAGCCGGCGCCGCUCCGAAAGCGGUCACCGGGCGGAGAAGGCGAGACUCCAUAGGUCGCACAGCAGCAGCGCCUCAGCAGCGUCCGACGACUCCGGGUGGCAGAAGCAAAGGAGUUGGAAGCACCGCAGGGCCAAGCCUCCUCCGAUGCCGCGGCCAGGUCCACCGGGGUCCCUAGACGAUCGGCUUCGCGAGGGCUUAAGCGGUUCCGGGGUUAAAUGGUACCUCCGGUACCUCGGGCAGGCAAGCCCUCAGUUGAAGCCAGAGCCAUGGCAGAGGUCAGAAUGGAGAUUGAGAAUGAGAAACGUGAGAGACACAGGAAAGGCGACAAACCCGCACCCGCCGAUAGGUGGAAGAGCGGGCCCAACAAACAGGCACACUUACCCGCACCUGCUGAAAAGCAGAAGAGCGGGCCACAGCGACAACAGCAGCACAGACCCGCGCCCGCUGAAAAGCGGAGAAGCGAGGAACCAACAGGCUCCAACAAAAGAGGUAGCAACCAGGUCACUCCGCCAGAGACACCGGGCACCAAACGGCAGCGGGAGCAGCCACCCCCUCCGAACUCAUGGUCUAGGAGCCGAUCGAGCAAGGACAUGCGCAGGGGGGUUCCACUCAGCAACCCAGCUAUUCGGAAGCCCUCAAAGGCAUUCGGGUAGCGGUGCUGCUUUGUGAGUACCCUGCUGCUGCCCUGAGCUCGGAAGACCUAACCAGACUCCAGGAUGCCAUCAUGGAAGAGGUUUUCAAAGGAUGGUCGCACCCGCUGGUGUUCUGUGGUGUGUACUUCAGAUCCGGCAUGCUCCUGGUGGACUGCAGGGACGAGAGAACAGCAACCUGGCUGGUGAAGAAAGCACCGGCACUUGAGGGCUGGAAGGGACCAGAGAUGUGCACGAAGAGGGGGAUGACAUCCCUCCAGUGCAUAACAUCACGGUGUUCCUGCCAAGGAGCGCCGAUAAGUCGGCGGAGUUUGCGUUGGGGCUACUAAAAGCGCAGAAUGAGGGCACCCACAUCUCUGCGUGGAAGGUAGUGUCCAGCUCCGUAGAGGAGAACGGGCGCAGACUAUUUCUGGGCAUAGAUGAGGAAUCGUACGUCAGCAUCAAGAGGGCUGGCUUCAACCUAAACUAUAGGUUCAGUUUCGUCACGGUGAGGCCGUGGCGACAAAAGGUCCGCUGCCCAGGCGACCCAGUCAACCUCGACCUUACCGGCGGAACAGCCACCCCUCAGUCAGCUACCCCUAACCCAGACACCAACUCCAGACACCAACUCCAGCAAGCACGUCCGAGCCAGCCACCACCACCAAGCCAGCGGAAGACGUGCCAUCCACGCAGGAGUUGCUAUCAGGCAUCGACUUCAGGCGACUUGAGCUCGAUAGGAGAAGCGAGAGCGAACUACAGCUCUCCGAUCUCGACGAGCCCCAACUAUGACCACGCAUCACUUGGCAGUAGCCCAGGUCAACCUGCAUCAUGCGGUGGCUGCUUCGGCGGUCAUCUCUAGCAGGUUCGCCACGGAUGACCUGGGCAUUCUACUGAUCCAAGAGCCGUGGACCUACAGAGGCCAGGUUAGGGGCCUCAACCACAACAACAACAAGAGUUUCUUACACAGGACUUGGUCGCAGUGCAGACGACGCUCUCGUUAAGUGGCAGAAGCCUAGAGGUGGUGUUUGCCGCGGCCUAUUUCCCGGGGGACAGCAACUACGCCCCUCCGCAAGAGGUACAGCAGCUAGUGGAAUUCUGCAGAAAGAGACGGCUCCACCUCAUCAUACGAACCGCAGAGGUGAGUGUCUCCUAGAGUACAUCUUAAGUGAGGAACUAAGCAUCCACAAUGUUGGCCAACACCGAUAUUUGUAACGAGGGCUAGAGAGGAGGUACUAGACAUCACGCUUAGCAACAGACUGGCUAGCCCUCUGGUCACCCAGUGGGGGUCUCAUCGGAGCCCUCACUGUCAGACCAUAGGAUUAUCCAGUUUGUACUGGGAGUAGAAGUCAAAACUAGGCAGGCAAACAGGAACCCCAGGAAAACUGACUGGACAAAGUACAGCGAGACUUUAGAGUCAAACCUAACUGGAA